RNAcentral lists this ribosomal RNA (254 nucleotides) under uncultured bacterium. RNAcentral's name for it is "partial 16S ribosomal RNA". It matches the Rfam family "Bacterial small subunit ribosomal RNA", at positions 524 to 776 of the family's 1533-position model. The record is from RNAcentral.
UACGUAGGUCGCAAGCGUUGUCCGGAUUUACUGGGCGUAAAGAGCUCGUAGGCGGUUCGGUAAGUCGGAUGUGAAAUCUCCACGCUCAACGUGGAGGGGCCAUUCGAUACUGCCGUGACUCGAGUCCGGUAGGGGAGUGUGGAAUUCCCGGUGUAGCGGUGAAAUGCGCAGAGAUCGGGAGGAACACCCGUAGCGAAGGCGGCACUCUGGGCCGGUACUGACGCUGAGGAGCGAAAGCGUGGGGAGCGAACAGG